This 443-nucleotide ribosomal RNA is filed under the name uncultured bacterium. Its description in RNAcentral is "partial 16S ribosomal RNA". It matches the Rfam family "Bacterial small subunit ribosomal RNA", at positions 338 to 795 of the family's 1533-position model. The record is from RNAcentral.
CCUACGGGUGGCAGCAGUGGGGAAUAUUGGGCAAUGGGCGCAAGCCUGACCCAGCAACGCCGCGUGAAGGAAGAAGGCUCUCGGGUUGUAAACUUCUUUUAUCAGGGACGAAGCAAGUGACGGUACCUGAUGAAUAAGCCACGGCUAACUACGUGCCAGCAGCCGCGGUAAUACGUAGGUGACAAGCGUUAUCCGGAUUUACUGGGUGUAAAGGGCGUGUAGGCGGGAAAGCAAGUCAGAUGUGAAAACCAUGGGCUCAACCUGUGGCCUGCAUUUGAAACUGUUUUUCUUGAGUACUGGAGAGGCAGACGGAAUUCCGAGUGUAGCGGUGAAAGGCGUAGAUAUUAGGAGGAACACCAGUGGCGAAGGCGGUCUGCUGGACAGCAAAUGACGCGGAGGCGCGAAAGCGUGGGGAGCAAACAGGAUUAGAUACCCCGGUAGUC